RNAcentral lists this ribosomal RNA (253 nucleotides) under uncultured bacterium. Its description in RNAcentral is "partial 16S ribosomal RNA". It matches the Rfam family "Bacterial small subunit ribosomal RNA", at positions 524 to 776 of the family's 1533-position model. The record is from RNAcentral.
UACGUAGGGUGCGAGCGUUAAUCGGAAUUACUGGGCGUAAAGCGUGCGUAGGCGGUCCGCGAAGUCUGAUGUGAAAGCCCCGGGCUCAACCUGGGAACUGCAUUGGAAACUAACGGGCUCGAGUGUGGCAGAGGGGGGUGGAAUUCCACGUGUAGCAGUGAAAUGCGCAGAGAUGUGGAGGAACACCGAUGGCGAAGGCAGCCCCCUGGGCUAACACUGACGCUCAGGCACGAAAGCGUGGGGAGCAAACAGG